UACGAAGGGGGCUAGCGUUGCUCGGAAUCACUGGGCGUAAAGCGCACGUAGGCGGAUUGUUAAGUCAGGGGUGAAAUCCUGGAGCUCAACUUCAGAACUGCCUUUGAUACUGGCGAUCUUGAGUCCGGGAGAGGUGAGUGGAACUGCGAGUGUAGAGGUGAAAUUCGUAGAUAUUCGCAAGAACACCAGUGGCGAAGGCGGCUCACUGGCCCGAUACUGACGCUGAGGUGCGAAAGCGUGGGGAGCAAACAGG
Molecule: ribosomal RNA, 253 nt
Filed under: uncultured bacterium
Lineage: Bacteria
Description: partial 16S ribosomal RNA
Rfam family: Bacterial small subunit ribosomal RNA
Source: RNAcentral